GCAAUUUUAAAAUUUUUUUAAUACACAAUUCUGGAUUACACAAGAGAUGUAUUACAUAGGAUCAAUGACUGACAAGCAGGUUAGGAUUUUGUACCCGAAUUUGUACUUCCAUCUAAGAGCUAUUCCUCCUGUGCUGCUGACUGCCCCCUCUUCUGAGGACAAUGUGGAGAGCAGGUGAGGAAGAGGUGGCGACUGCCACCUUAACUGAAACAUAUUCAGUAAGUCUAAUCAGAGGAGUAAGACGAGGCAAGUUCCCCUUGAGAAGCUUUCACAAAUGCUCUGUUCUAAUUUCUAAUUUCUUGUAAGGGUCCCUAGGUAUCUCAUUUAAUUGAGAUACAGAAUACCCCAACCAAAAGAAGAGGGGUAGAACACAGAAAAUGAUCUUGUAAUAUAGUGAUAGAAGUACCAGAAUCCUGAAAUGGUUACAGGAACACACAUAGCAGCACGUAAUGGAAAGCAAAUUCACUGCAGUUCGUAUUACUUAGGCUCCACAUCCACCAGCCACAAAGCAGUAAAAGUACAUAACACACUAACAGCAACAGAGAAGAUUACAUCAUUUAAGGGACACAUCUGACUCUGGCUCUAAGAGAAUCCAGAGGAGCUCAAAUGUCAGGCUAAAAGCUGGUGAGAGCCAACAGAGCAUUACAAGCACCAUGGCAUCGUACAAAGGCAUAUGCACUGGCCAUAGACUAAACUGGCCUAAAUUUCAGGGUCAUAAACAAAGCAGCGGAUUGUUUCACAGCGCCCAUCAGAAUUUAUUCUUAGCAUGUUUAUCUGCCUGAAUAUUCAAAAGUCAGAUAGGAAGUAAAUGAAAUUCAUCAGUCAUCAGCUGGCCAAUGCUCCUGCAUCCUGGAGUGUUCACGGUUGUACAACAUUUCCUCUCACAGGGAAGAAAAUACUUGGUUACAAGACAAAAUGUUUUUUUCAGUCACUGGUUCUUAAUAACAGUUCGUUGCUGAGGUUUUCUUUGCUUUGUCUCUGCUUAUCUCAUGACACUUUAGCAUCUAAAUAUUAGUAGCUUGUUUGAAAGACUUGCCUUCUGCUUCGUUUACAUAUCACUAUGUACACUUCUGCAAUUUUUCUUUCUGACUACCACCCUCUCUUCCUUCCAGCUCAUCCUAACCAACUCAAGGAAACUUCUGCUUGUGCUAUGAUUACACCAAAAGCUUUAUGCCCAUGGAAGAAGGCACUUCUAAGAAGGAAGUCUUGACGCUGUUUUGCUUUGUAGAGUAGUAGAUUCAUAUCUCCGGAUGGUUUUAUCUCAAUUCUCCCCUGAAAAGUCAAAUUUAGGCAAAGAUGGCUAUUUCCUAUUUCCACUAAAAGAAAGGUUCUCACAGAAGGGUAAGCUGGAAGCUUAAGCAUUUCCCUCCUGGACCUCCUGGAAUGUCUUCGUUCCUGCUGCAGCUUUGAUUU
This 1413-nucleotide long non-coding RNA is filed under the name Strigops habroptila (Kakapo). RNAcentral's name for it is "lncRNA (ENSSHBG00005000437.1)". The record is from RNAcentral. Lineage: Eukaryota; Metazoa; Chordata; Aves; Psittaciformes; Psittacidae.